This 253-nucleotide ribosomal RNA is filed under the name uncultured bacterium. Its description in RNAcentral is "partial 16S ribosomal RNA". It matches the Rfam family "Bacterial small subunit ribosomal RNA", at positions 524 to 776 of the family's 1533-position model. The record is from RNAcentral.
UACAGAGGGGGCAAGCGUUAUUCGGAAUUAUUGGGCGUAAAGGGCGCGUAGGCGGCUUUGCAAGUGGCGGGUGAAAUCCCUCGGCUUAACCGAGGAACUGCCUGUCAAACUGCAUGGCUUGAGACCAGGAGAGGUGAGUGGAAUUCCCAGUGUAGCGGUGAAAUGCGUAGAUAUUGGGAGGAACACCAGUGGCGAAGGCGGCUCACUGGACUGGUACUGACGCUGAUGCGCGAAAGCCAGGGGAGCGAACGGG